Molecule: long non-coding RNA, 1880 nt
Organism: Panicum virgatum (switchgrass)
Lineage: Eukaryota; Viridiplantae; Streptophyta; Magnoliopsida; Poales; Poaceae
Exons: 4
Source: RefSeq, a predicted model, not a curated record
UCCCAAGAACCGCCCCGCCAGCCAUGCCGCACGCCGGCUCCGGCCCUCUUCCGGCCGCGCCCUCCUCCCCUGCUCUCCUCGGCCUUGCGCCGCCGUGCAGCCUCCGUCCACCCCCUCCCAGGCUCCCUCCGCCGGCGGUGCUACUCGAGCUCGAGAGCAGCUGCAGCGACGGCCGGCUCCUGGCAGCGGAGGCUUCCGGCUGCCCGCUGCCUGCCUGCGGCUCUCUCUCCUACCACCAAUGCAUUUCUUGGAGACCUGCUACUGACCUUAUUUCUCUCCCCCUCACCCUCACAACCGCACAGGUGAACCGCACAAGGGAUACAUUGCUGUGCCAAUAGUCUGUUCGUCUUCGUCAGUCAUAAUCAGGUUGGCCCUUGCUCUACUUCGUCCUCAAUUUUUUUUCCACAGUGGCCGCUUCUUUUUCUUGAUCUCUAUAUCUACUUUACUUCUUCCCCUGCGCCUCUUUUCAAGCCAGGUUUAGCUUAUCCCUAUGUUGGAUCCGGCUUCUAUCGAUGCUCCUUUUGGUAUGCAGUGUUGGAUCGAUGUGGUGCUGAUCUUGUUCGCCCGUCCCCGGUGUGCAGUUCAUACGGUUUUUCAUCUGUCUGCUGCCAGGUUUGCAGUCCUCGUUCAGAAACUUCAUCAGUUUGCAUCCCGGCCCUAUCCUUCAGCUGAGACAUCUCCUAGGCCUCCAUUCAGUGAAAUUGCUUGGAAAAAAGUGCUUUCACUUUUACUCCUUCAGAUCUUAAAUUCUGAAUACCAAUGUGAUGAAAUGCUGGUUUGAUUUCUAUAUGGACAAAUAGAUUUGUUAAAUUUAGGUUUUAUUGACUAAAUCAAACAAUUGAAUAAUAGGAAGAUGUAGAAACUGAAAGGAUUAGGACACUUUUGCAGGGCCAGAUCACACUUAUACAUCAUUUGGAAAUGACUUUCUUGUUUCCAUAUCUUUCUUGAUCGUGGAUAAGAAAUUUUCAUGACUGUCUACAUUGCUUGGGAACAAGAGGGUGGUUGUUUUCCAUCGCGCAUGACUCUAAAUUUUUGUGCUGGAUACUAUAUUCUAACGUCAGGCAAUGGUAGAGAUCGAUUGUUUGGGCAGGUAUGCCAUUCUGUGAUCGAGUCAGGUGGUUGCUAAAGGUUAUUACAUGGAAAGUAUGUCAACACUUUUCUUCUGGCCAUACACGAAGAACCAAUGUAGAGUUCUCUUAGUGAUGAUUUGAGAAGUCUCUGAGUCACAGGAAAUUAUUAUGUUAUGAUGAAUGUGCCAUGAGGGUCAUUUACCAAGUGUGCAGAUCAAAUUGGGGUUGACUGGUAGACAUCUGGCAUUGCACACAAAUGAAUUCACCUUAAUGAGCUGGUUAUUACCAUUAUUGAUAAAUUUUAAUACCAUCUUUAGUUCCUUCCUCUGCAGGUUGUCACCCAGGGGAACUGCACCUAGCAUUACCUGCCAACAUCCAUCACAUAUACCAUUGUGGAGUUGGUCGAGUCCUCGGCCUGCAAUAAUGGGUUUGCUAUCCCAGCCAUCCUCAUGGUCAUUCAGGCUCAUGGUGGCUCUGCAGCGAGCUAAGAACAGGAGGUCCGAAGAGGAGGUAAUUUUGUAGAUGCAGCUGACUGUCCAUCCUACUAUUCUCCAUCGCGGCGAGCUCUUGCUCUUGUGCUACACGGUCGUUUACAAGGCCGGCAUGGGAAGCAAGGGCACCCGUCAGCAACUCCGUCACCUACGCCAUUAAUUCGGUGAUGCUGGCGAUGUACCCUGUAUGUGAGGUUGUCCAACAUGUGCAAGGAAAUAUGGAAUGGCUUCUCCAAGGAAAUAUGCUGGUUCACUGGAUUGCCUUGCCAUCUCCAAUGAUAAUUUGGUGUGGAUUAUUGGAAUACUUAAAUUUCAAUAA